Long non-coding RNA from Gasterosteus aculeatus aculeatus (three-spined stickleback), 1988 nucleotides. RefSeq lists it as uncharacterized. The record is from RefSeq and is a predicted model, not a curated record. NCBI's taxonomy places the organism in Eukaryota, Metazoa, Chordata, Actinopteri, Perciformes, Gasterosteidae.
GCGAAACGCGCAGAAAAGGCAGAAGAGUUGUCUCACCCGGCCUCACACACGCACAUUCACAGACAGAAUGUCUCACAGACAGAAUGUCUGGGACUGAACACGAUCAAGUUGAGGAAACACUGAAGAGGAUCGAAGCCAAUAAAUAUGUGAUUGGAACGAUCGUUGUCAACACAGAGGGUAUUCCCAUCAGAACAACUUUGGAUAACUCCACCACGGUCAGUGGCGGUUCUGGGCACGGGCGAACCGGGCAGCCACCUGGGGCGGCAUUUUUUCAUGGCUCAUGGGGGGCGGCACGAGCGCUGGAAAAAAAAUCCUCUGCUCCGCGAAGCAGUUUUCUAUCAUCUAUCGUUUCACUGUGUGGGGAAUUGGCAGAUUGUGCCCCCCUGCGGCUGCAGGCGCCCUGCUUGUUGGAGGUGCUGUGCACAGAAUCUGUGUGAGUAGGGGAAAAGGAAGGGGCGCGCGGGGGACAGUUCACCUCUGGGUCACCCAAAUGGAACGGUCGGAUAAGGGGGGGGAGCAGGGGUCGGGGGAUUCACUGUUAAAUACGCUAAUGUAAUUAGUGGGCUAAAGUCAGUCACACCCCGACUUUCUUACAAAUAACGCACAUUUCAAUAAUGAUAAAUGCAAGCCUAUAGUUCCUGCACAUUUUUGUUUUUAUGAAUUGUGUAAAAUGGCCAAUAAAAAUUGGUAAUACAAAACGAUUAUGUGUCACCUUUCACCAAGGUUAAUUGGUUUAGUCUUGACUUCUGGUCGUGACUGACAGUGUUGGGGGGAUGGGAAAUCUGUUGCUUGUCGAGUCAGAGGCAAAUAAAAACAGAUGGACAGAAAAAGGUUAAAAUCAUCAGGUUCCCACUACAGAAAGAAAAGAAAAGAAGAGGAGGAGAAGCAAGCAAAAGAUGGAGGUAUGCAAAUAUGUUGUCUCUCUGUAUGAUUAUACAGCCACAUCAGCCAUCAAGGAGAUAUUUUCCACAUUGGAAAAUAUGGGAAAUAAUUCAGGGUGUUGACACAUUUCCCAAGUCUUGCAGAUGAAGAGCUGGCAGAGCAAUGCGAGGCACUAGGCACCACACUGCACUUUAAGGGGCACUCUGAUUUGGACAGUAGAAAGCUUGUGCAGGAAAUUAAGAACUUCCCUGACCUGCCAUCAAAGACCAUGAGCCUCCUUGAGCCAAUCACUUGUGCAUGACAAGGAUCUAUCAGAGAUCUACCCCAACUUUUGGACUGCUCUCAGGAUUGCACUUACUCUGCCAGUCACUGUGGCUCAAGCAGAGAGGAGCUUUUCCAAACUGAAGUUGAUCAAGUCAUACCUUAGGUCAACCAUGUCCCAGAAACGGCUCACUGGCCUUGGUGUCAUCAGCAUCAAUCAUUCCAUAGGGGAGCAGAUUUCAUACAAAGACAUUAUUGAUGAUUUUGCAUCAAGGAAGGCCAGAAACGUCAGGUUUUAGAUUUAGUUUGUGUUUUCUGUUCUUAGUGCAAUAGUGAAACAGUUCGAUUGUAUUUUGUGUGAUGAAGAAUUUGUGCUAUUUACAAUAUUUAUUCUAUAUUUUAUUUGUAUAUUGUUCUUUUGUAUUGUAUAUUUUGUGCAAAUCAAAACUCUCACUCUCAAAGGUGGUCUCGCCCUGGGCGCCAUUCAAUGCAGAACCGUCCCUGACCACGGUUGUGUAUGCACAGCUUUUACGCCACCUCACCAUGAAGGCAAGUAACAUCGUGAGGGACCUUGACCCUCAGAAUGACAUUUGUUUUUUUCUGAAUGCAGACAAAGAAACACAAUAUCUUGGUUGCACCAGGUGAGUGUCCAGAAGGUGCAUUUGUAUUGUUGACUUAAUUGUCUGUAACUUGACCGUGCUGUUGUACUGCAGUUGAAUUUUUUUUCUCUUCUUUCUUUUUGUUUUUGCAGAAAACAACUUUCUGCUGAUAGUCAUCCAGAAGCAUGUGAAUAGCCUCUGGACAUUUCCAUGAGAGUCAGCCUUUGUUUUGUGCCAUAAUGGUGA